This 419-nucleotide long non-coding RNA is filed under the name Mytilus galloprovincialis (Mediterranean mussel). Lineage: Eukaryota; Metazoa; Mollusca; Bivalvia; Mytilida; Mytilidae. The record is from RNAcentral.
CAGUGUUCUCCCCAGGCGUUUUAGCAACAGCGCUUUUCAGCGCUAUUGCAAUUACCCGCUGUCCUAUUGCACUGACCGCAGCGCUAUCCAACGCAACCGCGUCGCUAUAUUUUUUUCCGUAUUUUUCAAUUUUUUUUAAAUUUCCCGCUUAUUUUUCACUUCGGAUCACGUGAUCGACUGGUUUACGAUUUUUUAAUGAAUUAUUUCCGUUGUAUUAAAGUAACUUCGCGGAACCAGUCUAAUAAAUUUUACAAAAUGGCGUUUUUGGAAGAUCAAAAUAAACAAAGAUUUCAACAUUGACAUCGAUUUUUUUAAUUUAUAGAAAAUAUAGAGGCAUAUAUGAAUGAAAUGUGAUGAAAUGAAUUGACCGCAUUUCCCGACGUCACUCACAAACUUGUUUUACGAACUUUGAACAACAA